This 22-nucleotide ribosomal RNA is filed under the name Nervilia crociformis. Its description in RNAcentral is "partial 26S ribosomal RNA". The record is from RNAcentral. Lineage: Eukaryota; Viridiplantae; Streptophyta; Magnoliopsida; Asparagales; Orchidaceae.
GCGACCCCAGGAUGGGCGGGGC